GGAAUUCGCCCUUAGAGUUUGAUUUUGGCUCAGGAUGAACGCUGGCGGCGUGCUUAACACAUGCAAGUUGAACGAAGCUCACGGGAUUGACUCCUUCGGGAAGAUAUUCUUUGAGACUUAGUGGCGAACGGGUGAGUAACACGUGAGCAACCAACCCCUGACAGUGGAAUAACAACGGGAAACCGUUGCUAAUACCGCAUAAUAUCCCUGUAUGGCAUCAUAUGGGGAUCAAAGAUUUAUCGGUCAGGGGCGGGCUCGCGUCCGAUUAGGUAGUAGGUAAGGUAACGGCUUACCUAGCCUGCGAUCGGUAGCCGGACUGAGAGGUCGAUCGGCCACAUUGGGACUGAGACACGGCCCAGACUCCUACGGGAGGCAGCAGUGGGGAAUAUUGGGCAAUGGGGGCAACCCUGACCCAGCGACGCCGCGUGAAGGACGAAGGCAUUCGUGUUGUAAACUUCUUUGGAGAGGGACGAAGAUGACGGUACCUCUCGAACAAGCCACGGCUAACUACGUGCCAGCAGCCGCGGUAAUACGUAGGUGGCAAGCGUUAUCCGGAAUUACUGGGUGUAAAGGGCGCGCAGGCGGCCCUGCAAGUCGGAUGUGAAAGCCCACGGCUCAACCGUGGAGGGUCAUUGGAAACUGGGUCACUUGAGUACAGAAGAGGAAAGUGGAAUUCCAUGUGUAGCGGUGAAAUGCGUAGAUAUAUGGAGGAACACCAGUGGCGAAGGCGACUUUCUGGUCUGUGACUGACACUGAGGCUCGAAAGCGUGGGGAGCAAACAGGAUUAGAUACCCUGGUAGUCCACGCCGUAAA
Molecule: ribosomal RNA, 813 nt
Filed under: uncultured bacterium
Lineage: Bacteria
Description: bacterial SSU rRNA
Rfam family: Bacterial small subunit ribosomal RNA
Source: RNAcentral